UGGGGAAUAUUGCACAAUGGGCGCAAGCCUGAUGCAGCCAUGCCGCGUGUGUGAAGAAGGCCUUCGGGUUGUAAAGCAACUUUCAGCGAGGAGGAAGGUGGUGAGCUUAAUACGUCAUCAAUUGACGUUACUCGCAGAAGAAGCACCGGCUAACUCCGUGCCAGCAGCCGCGGUAAUACGGAGGGUGCAAGCGUUAAUCGGAAUUACUGGGCGUAAAGCGCACGCAGGCGGUUUGUUAAGUCAGAUGUGAAAUCCCCGGGCUCAACCUGGGAACUGCAUUUGAAACUGGCAAGCUAGAGUCUCGUAGAGGGGGGUAGAAUUCCAGGUGUAGCGGUGAAAUGCGUAGAGAUCUGGAGGAAUACCGGUGGCGAAGGCGGCCCCCCUGGACGAAGACUGACGCUCAGGUGCGAAAGCGUGGGGAGCAAACA
RNAcentral lists this ribosomal RNA (428 nucleotides) under uncultured bacterium. Its description in RNAcentral is "partial 16S ribosomal RNA". It matches the Rfam family "Bacterial small subunit ribosomal RNA", at positions 355 to 774 of the family's 1533-position model. The record is from RNAcentral.